CAGUCCAUCCUUUUAUAGUCCUUGGAAUUGGAAUCAAAGUGAUUUUUCUGCUGGUGCUUACACCGUUUAUCAUCUGGACUUGGAAGCGCCGGUCUCAUUCUGACGCCAACAAAGAGAAUAACAGCAAUGAUUAUGAAAACGUGAUUAUUGGGUGAAAUAAAGGUGCUCCAAAACCCUUGAGGUGAGCAAGGAACCAAAGCAGAGGAAUCGUUGGUAUUGCCCAGUUCUGACACAAAAUGCCUCCUGAGGUUUAAUUAAGCUACAUGAAUGAUCAGCAGUGUGACAGACUGGCGACCUGUCCAGGGUGAACCUCGCCUCUCGCCCGGUGAACGCUGGAGAGAG
Fundulus heteroclitus (mummichog) is the source of this 342-nucleotide long non-coding RNA. RefSeq lists it as uncharacterized. The transcript has 3 exons. The record is from RefSeq and is a predicted model, not a curated record. Lineage: Eukaryota; Metazoa; Chordata; Actinopteri; Cyprinodontiformes; Fundulidae.